AUUGUUGUUGAGUUUUGUCAGAAUUAUGGCAUGGUUCACGUCGAAUCCACUUUCGGCUUCAUAUUCAUUUGUUUUAUUUUUUAUUUUUUUGUCUCUUCUUUCUACCCGCAGGCCACAAAUUGAUAAUAGAAAGCUUGAAAUUGUUAUAUGGAGAUAUUUUCAAAAUAUUGAUAUGGUUUUGAAGAUCAUAUUAAAAAUCAGUUAAAUAAUUUUCUAAUAAAGACACUUUGAAACGUAUUGAAGUUAAAACUCGGGUAGUGAAUGUAUAUAAAUGGUCUCUUUCUG
This 285-nucleotide long non-coding RNA is filed under the name Linum usitatissimum (flax). Its description in RNAcentral is "long non-coding RNA (LUSI_LNC007915)". Lineage: Eukaryota; Viridiplantae; Streptophyta; Magnoliopsida; Malpighiales; Linaceae. The record is from RNAcentral.